GACGGAGGAGGCAAGCGUUAUCCGGAAUUAUUGGGCGUAAAGCGUCCGCAGGUGGCUUCUCAAGUCUGUCGUCAAAUCCCAGGGCUUAACUCUGGACAGGCGAUGGAAACUGGGUCGCUAGAGUAUGGUAGGGGUAGAGGGAAUUCCAGGUGUAGCGGUGAAAUGCGUAGAUAUCUGGAAGAACACCAGUGGCGAAGGCGCUCUACUGGGCCAUAACUGACACUCAUGGACGAAAGCUAGGGGAGCGAAAGGG
RNAcentral lists this ribosomal RNA (253 nucleotides) under uncultured bacterium. RNAcentral describes it as "partial 16S ribosomal RNA". It matches the Rfam family "Bacterial small subunit ribosomal RNA", at positions 524 to 776 of the family's 1533-position model. The record is from RNAcentral.